GAUGAACGCUGGCGGCGUGCCUAAUACAUGCCAGUCGAGCGAACAGACGAGGAGCUUGCUCCUCUGACGUUAGCGGCGGACGGGUGAGUAACACGUGGAUAACCUACCUAUAAGACUGGGAUAACUUCGGGAAACCGGAGCUAAUACCGGAUAAUAUAUUGAACCGCAUGGUUCAAUAGUGAAAGACGGUUUUGCUGUCACUUAUAGAUGGAUCCGCGCCGCAUUAGCUAGUUGGUAAGGUAACGGCUUACCAAGGCGACGAUGCGUAGCAGACCUGAGAGGGUGAUCGGCCACACUGGAACUGAGACACGGUCCAGACUCCUACGGGAGGCAGCAGUAGGGAAUCUUCCGCAAUGGGCGAAAGCCUGACGGAGCAACGCCGCGUGAGUGAUGAAGGUCUUCGGAUCGUAAAACUCUGUUAUUAGGGAAGAACAAAUGUGUAAGUAACUAUGCACGUCUUGACGGUACCUAAUCAGAAAGCCACGGCUAACUACGUG
This 497-nucleotide ribosomal RNA is filed under the name uncultured bacterium. RNAcentral describes it as "partial 16S ribosomal RNA". It matches the Rfam family "Bacterial small subunit ribosomal RNA", at positions 28 to 507 of the family's 1533-position model. The record is from RNAcentral.